Picea glauca (white spruce) is the source of this 72-nucleotide non-coding RNA. The record is from Rfam. NCBI's taxonomy places the organism in Eukaryota, Viridiplantae, Streptophyta, Pinopsida, Pinales, Pinaceae.
AGAUCCGUGGUGCAAUGGUAGCGCGUCUGACUCUAGAUUAAAAGGUUGCAUGAUUGAUUCAUGUCGGGUUCA